This 2699-nucleotide long non-coding RNA is filed under the name Brassica napus (rape). RNAcentral describes it as "long non-coding RNA (BNAP_LNC005148)". The record is from RNAcentral. Lineage: Eukaryota; Viridiplantae; Streptophyta; Magnoliopsida; Brassicales; Brassicaceae.
AUUAUAUAAAAUAUAAAUAUUGUUAAUUUAUUAUUUAAUCGCUUAUACAAUUGAUAGUUAACCAGUCAUAAGUAUCCUGCAAACGCACCAAUUUCUAACCGCAGAACCAGUCGUACAAAUCUCUUAAAACUUCAAGAUACCGCAGCCACCCGCAUCCGCAAACUCCCGCAACCGCAACCGCUGCGUUUAAACCAGUCAGACCCUUAGUUGUUUACUUCAAAACGAUUUUAGCAAAUAUGACAUAUAUAAGAGUCGAUAACGGUUUGGGACACUUUUUUUUAUCUUUUUUGACAUACUCAGACACAACUUGCUGGAGGGACACUUUGUCUUGAUUCUGAGAUGGUUUCGGACCAUUGUGCCCCUCGCUUUUUUACCUGAGACCAAGGUUGAGUCAGUGUUUUUUUUAUUAUUUCUCGCCAACUGGAAAGCGACCGUACAGCCCUGCGUUUCGUAGGAGUUAUUAAGUUUGGUUUCUGAGGAAUACUUUCUUCUCAACUUUUUCUUUGUUUUUUUGCAAAGUUCUUAUGUUUUUAUUUGUUUUUUUCUCAGAGUUUAAGACAUUUGAAGAAAGUAUAAUUACUAUAUACAUGAAUUUAUAUUUAUUUUAAUAUAAUAUAGUAAAAGAUAGAAGAGUUAUGGGGUUUUAACGUUAAAACCUCUCAACUAAAUUUUUUUUAUAUUGACAUGUAAUAAAAAUUAUCAAAAAGUUAUUUAUUAAAAUUAAUAAUUGAGUAUAAAAUAUGAUUAAUAUUUUUUUGAAUAAUAUUAAGGUAUAUGUUUUCUGUGUGUUUUUAGUUUUAAUUUUUUAGUAUUUAAAUGUUUAUUAAAAUAUGUUUUCGGAUAACAACACAAAAUAUAUAGGAAUUAUCUUUUAUUUUAAAAUAUAUCUUUCAGAUUUUGGAUAAGUUUUUUUAUUAUUAAUAAUAAAUUAUCUAACCAAAUAGUUUUAAAUUCGUUUUUAUGUUUUAGUUAAUUUAUAGAUUUUAUUCAUUAAGGGUAUAAACGAUAUUAACCACUCUAACUUUUAACGUGAGAGCUCGAUUCCAAAAAUUUACUUCGCAAAUAAUAGUAUAGAUUGAGACUGUGAGACUGAGACCCUAUUCUUAUCUCUUCCUUUAUUUUUGCGUGUGGGUGAUCUUCUCAUGCCAUCUCGAUUACAAUUAUUCUGAAAUAAGCUUUUAUCUUUGUUUCACAGCUCGUGUGGUUGUACUAUUUUUAUGGUUUAUGUGUAUUUAGGGUACGAUUGGUUUCUUCGCUACCACCCGCACACGCAACUUUUGCAGUUGAUAGCAGUUGUUGGCGAUUUGCAACAAUCACUCAAACCGCUCUAAACCUCAAAAAUUCAAAAACUGGUUCCAGCUAGCAUUUGCAGUUACGGGAGAAUAUUUUUUUUCUUUAAAACAAUAUAAAUACAAAAAUAAAAAUAAUCAAUAAAAAUUUUCAAUUGGAAUUAUAAAAAUACUAAAAUAUAUCUAUUAAAUUAAUAUUAUAAAUUUUUAAAAUAAAAAUAUUUUCUAUAAUUUUUAAAAAUUUAAAACUAUAAUUUUCUAAAUGUAAUUUUUAUAUUUAUUAUAAUAUUAUAAUUUUUGAUAUUUUUAUAAUUAUAUAAAAUAUAAAUAUUGUUAAUUUAUUAUUUAAUCGCUUAUACAAUUGAUAGUUAACCAGUCAUAAGUAUCCUGCAAACGCACCAAUUUCUAACCGCAGAACCAGUCGUACAAAUCUCUUAAAACUUCAAGAUACCGCAGCCACCCGCAUCCGCAAACUCCCGCAACCGCAACCGCUGCGUUUAAACCAGUCAGACCCUUAGUUGUUUACUUCAAAACGAUUUUAGCAAAUAUGACAUAUAUAAGAGUCGAUAACGGUUUGGGACACUUUUUUUUAUCUUUUUUGACAUACUCAGACACAACUUGCUGGAGGGACACUUUGUCUUGAUUCUGAGAUGGUUUCGGACCAUUGUGCCCCUCGCUUUUUUACCUGAGACCAAGGUUGAGUCAGUGUUUUUUUUAUUAUUUCUCGCCAACUGGAAAGCGACCGUACAGCCCUGCGUUUCGUAGGAGUUAUUAAGUUUGGUUUCUGAGGAAUACUUUCUUCUCAACUUUUUCUUUGUUUUUUUGCAAAGUUCUUAUGUUUUUAUUUGUUUUUUUCUCAGAGUUUAAGACAUUUGAAGAAAGUAUAAUUAUUACAAUAAAUUAUAAUUUGUUUUUCUCUAUAUUUUAACAUCCAUUUUCAUAUAUAUAUUUUAUAUAUUUCAACAAUUAUAUAAAAAAAAUGUAUGGACAUAAGAAGUGUGGAUGCAAAAUUGUGAACAUAUAAAAAAAAUACGUAAACAUAAAAAGAUGUGGACAUGGAUGGAUAAAAAAAUGUAGAAAAUCUCUUUAAAAUUUUCGUGGAUGAAGUUUCAUAAACUAAGUUUCAUGGAUGUGUUACUUGGACAAGUUCUUAUAUUCCUAAUCAUCUUACAUAAUUUCUUAGUAUUUGUGAACAAGUGCUUUAUGCAUACCGUGUAGUGUUUAUGUACAUUCCCAACAUAUUUUUGGUCAUUAUUACAAAUUAUAAUGUAUAAAAUCUAUAUUAAUGUAUAAAAUAAGUUAUAACUUUUUCUCUUCUACAUUUUGAUAUCCAUAAUGUAUAUAUUUUUUUGUAAAUUUAUAAUAAAUUUUGAUGUCCAUGUGAACGAGUUCUUGUGAACGAGGUUUUGU